GUUCUCAAAAGAUCUGAUGGUUUUAUAAGGCAGUUUUCCCUUCUCUUGCUAGUUCUCUCUUUCCUGCCACCACAUGAAGAUAGACUUUGCUUCCCGUUUACCUUCCGCCAUGACUGUAGGCUUCUUGAGGCAUCUCCAGCCAUAUGGAACUCUCACUCAGCACCUUCUAAUUCGGUGAUGGAUCCUCGAGCAAGUUGGGCUGGAGCAAGAGAAAGCCUUGAUUAUGCCAAAGAGGUCACUGUGGCGCAGUGGCCAACAUUUUUCUGUGUGAAUUAAUAUAUCAGUGUCUGUGUUGGAGAAGAGUCUUGGGGUGAAAAUCUACAGAUCUGAGACCUGAAACCACACCAUGUGAUGAUUAUUCCCGCUUACAGGCAGCAAGUGGGAUAAGCAGGCUGUGAUAUUGCAAAAAGAAAGCUGAUAUUCUUUCUGGAAGGUAGACCACAUCAAAGACAGAGAAAAAGGUAACACCAGCAAAAAUUUCCACCCAAACCCUCUUGGUUCACAG
RNAcentral lists this long non-coding RNA (505 nucleotides) under Callithrix jacchus (white-tufted-ear marmoset). RNAcentral's name for it is "lncRNA (ENSCJAG00000083651.1)". The record is from RNAcentral. Lineage: Eukaryota; Metazoa; Chordata; Mammalia; Primates; Cebidae.